GGGGCUGCAGGGGGAAGAGGCAGGAAGAAAAUGUCAGCAUCUAGGAAAAGGAAGGGCCUGAAUGGAGACCUGGCUGCUCUUGCUUUUCCUCGAUAGCUCUCUCUAGGGUUGGGGCCUUCACAGAGGAGGCCCAGGCUUCCAGAGACUGCUGCCUCAGGUCCCUGGGUCUGUGUAUGAAGCCCUGUUCCUGGGCACCAUGGCCGUGUCCCACCCGUGCCGCCUUCAUCCCCUCUCCCCCUGCCCCACAGCAGCUGACCUGGGUGAUGGUCAGUGUGGUCCUGUUGACCUGCUGUGCCUGCAGAGCAGCCUGGGCCCGGGCCUUGACCACAUGGGAGCAGAGGAGGGGCCCGAGGGACCCAAAUUCUGCCCGAUAGGCAUCCUGAUUGUCGGGCGGGGGGUGCAGCUUAGCCAGUACAGGUGCACAGUGUUUCUGCAGAGAGGAAGAAUAGAAGAAGGGGUGAGAGAGGGGACACCCACUGUUUCAGCGUGCCCUCACUGGAGUCAGACUGUGCUGGGCCUUCAGUGAGCAUAAGGAGUGGUGAGGGUCUCCCUCAGAGAAAAUCUGGGAGCCAACUGCCAUGACUGGAAGACUUGCCACGUACACUGGUAACGUGUGGGCCAGUUACUCCAUACAGCGUUUGUCUUACAGUGGGUCAUACAGUGAUUAAGACCCCUUAUUUCUUACUUAGCCCACCCGUGUCUGUAUUUCCAUCAGCAAAACAGCACCGGACUCUGAAAGGUGCUGGGAAUAAAUGCAGCAAAGAUGGGAAUAACUGUUCUCCCGUCAGGGGCCUAACAUCAUGUCCCAGCUCUGCCAGGCCUGCAAUGGAGCCAUAACGAGUUGUCCAGGGAGUCUUCUCGUCCACCCAGCUCUGCAGGGAAAGAAAAGAAACCCAGAUGAGUCGGUCUAAAGGCCAAGCACUACGGACCCAGGUCUUCUAGAAAUAAACUUUAUUAAAAUGGUGCAGAUGAGGCUUAAGGCCCUUAGACCAACCUC
This is a non-coding RNA of Heterocephalus glaber (naked mole-rat), 997 nucleotides long. NCBI's taxonomy places the organism in Eukaryota, Metazoa, Chordata, Mammalia, Rodentia, Bathyergidae. The record is from RefSeq and is a predicted model, not a curated record.